CGGCCGUGGCGGGGUGCUAUACAUGCAAGUCGAACGAACUCUGGUAUUGAUUGGUGCUUGCAUCAUGAUUUACAUUUGAGUGAGUGGCGAACUGGUGAGUAACACGUGGGAAACCUGCCCAGAAGCGGGGGAUAACACCUGGAAACAGAUGCUAAUACCGCAUAACAACUUGGACCGCAUGGUCCGAGCUUGAAAGAUGGCUUCGGCUAUCACUUUUGGAUGGUCCCGCGGCGUAUUAGCUAGAUGGUGGGGUAACGGCUCACCAUGGCAAUGAUACGUAGCCGACCUGAGAGGGUAAUCGGCCACAUUGGGACUGAGACACGGCCCAAACUCCUACGGGAGGCAGCAGUAGGGAAUCUUCCACAAUGGACGAAAGUCUGAUGGAGCAACGCCGCGUGAGUGAAGAAGGGUUUCGGCUCGUAAAACUCUGUUGUUAAAGAAGAACAUAUCUGAGAGUAACUGUUCAGGUAUUGACGGUAUUUAACCAGAAAGCCACGGCUAACUACGUGCCAGCAGCCGCGGUAAUACGUAGGUGGCAAGCGUUGUCCGGAUUUAUUGGGCGUAAAGCGAGCGCAGGCGGUUUUUUAAGUCUGAUGUGAAAGCCUUCGGCUCAACCGAAGAAGUGCAUCGGAAACUGGGAAACUUGAGUGCAGAAGAGGACAGUGGAACUCCAUGUGUAGCGGUGAAAUGCGUAGAUAUAUGGAAGAACACCAGUGGCGAAGGCGGCUGUCUGGUCUGUAACUGACGCUGAGGCUCGAAAGUAUGGGUAGCAAACAGGAUUAGAUACCCUGGUAGUCCAUACCGUAAACGAUGAAUGCUAAGUGUUGGAGGGUUUCCGCCCUUCAGUGCUGCAGCUAACGCAUUAAGCAUUCCGCCUGGGGAGUACGGCCGCAAGGCUGAAACUCAAAGGAAUUGACGGGGGCCCGCACAAGCGGUGGAGCAUGUGGUUUAAUUCGAAGCUACGCGAAGAACCUUACCAGGUCUUGACAUACUA
Molecule: ribosomal RNA, 994 nt
Filed under: Lactiplantibacillus plantarum
Lineage: Bacteria; Bacillati; Bacillota; Bacilli; Lactobacillales; Lactobacillaceae
Description: bacterial SSU rRNA
Rfam family: Bacterial small subunit ribosomal RNA
Source: RNAcentral